CUUCUACUUUUUAUCUUUUUCUCCUCUCCCCUCAACCCACUGAAAAUGGGAAAAAUAUGUUUGUUCGAUCUCAUCAUUUGAUGCAUGCGUUGAUUUCAAAUACAAACAUUCAUGUCUCAAAUUGAUGAAAAAAGGGAGGGAUCUUUUUGUUUGUUUUACCAUCUUUCCGUUUUUUAUUCCUAAAAAUCCUAAGGAAGAACAUUAGAAAAUUCAUUCAUGAAAGUGAGGUAAUUAUGUUUGAAUUUGAUCUAAAUUUGGUUCUUCGAGCUAUUAGCGUGGGGGAAUUAAAGAUUUCAGAUUCUGAACAACCAACUGAACUUAGUGUCUUCUCAUUAAUUAUAUAUUGGAUGAAGCUGAAGUUUUAGUAUGUGAUUUUAUACUUUGGUGGUAACCUGCUGUAAAAUUUUCAAGUGAACCUGAUCAGUGCAAGUCCCCUAAAGAGUAAGAUAUCCUGAGCUGAAUUCUGUAUGAUGAUUCUGUAAACAGUCAGCUUGUUUUGUGUUUAUCUCCUUAUUGAACCGUUACAUUGCUCUGAAAUUUUAGUAUAUUAUGGUAUCCGGAGUGGUAAUGACACUGUUAAGUUUUUGAGACGAUCACGUAGCGUUUACCACUGAAAAGUCUAGAUAUACAGUAGUUGAACUUUGUAAAGU
This is a long non-coding RNA of Papaver somniferum (opium poppy), 650 nucleotides long. RefSeq lists it as uncharacterized. The record is from RefSeq and is a predicted model, not a curated record. NCBI's taxonomy places the organism in Eukaryota, Viridiplantae, Streptophyta, Magnoliopsida, Ranunculales, Papaveraceae. The transcript is spliced from 2 exons.